GCCCGCCUAGCUCAAUCGGAUAGAGCGUCAGACUCUUACAGCAGGCGUGGAGUAAUGCACACAGUUGUGUGAUCUGAAGGCUGCGAGUUCGACCCUCGCGGUGGGCU
This is a non-coding RNA of Russula brevipes, 107 nucleotides long. The record is from the annotation of a GenBank genome assembly. Lineage: Eukaryota; Fungi; Basidiomycota; Agaricomycetes; Russulales; Russulaceae.